Molecule: ribosomal RNA, 1453 nt
Filed under: Limosilactobacillus fermentum
Lineage: Bacteria; Bacillati; Bacillota; Bacilli; Lactobacillales; Lactobacillaceae
Description: bacterial SSU rRNA
Rfam family: Bacterial small subunit ribosomal RNA
Source: RNAcentral
CUAAUACAUGCAAGUCGAACGCGUUGGCCCAAUUGAUUGAUGGUGCUUGCACCUGAUUGAUUUUGGUCGCCAACGAGUGGCGGACGGGUGAGUAACACGUAGGUAACCUGCCCAGAAGCGGGGGACAACAUUUGGAAACAGAUGCUAAUACCGCAUAACAGCGUUGUUCGCAUGAACAACGCUUAAAAGAUGGCUUCUCGCUAUCACUUCUGGAUGGACCUGCGGUGCAUUAGCUUGUUGGUGGGGUAACGGCCUACCAAGGCGAUGAUGCAUAGCCGAGUUGAGAGACUGAUCGGCCACAAUGGGACUGAGACACGGCCCAUACUCCUACGGGAGGCAGCAGUAGGGAAUCUUCCACAAUGGGCGCAAGCCUGAUGGAGCAACACCGCGUGAGUGAAGAAGGGUUUCGGCUCGUAAAGCUCUGUUGUUAAAGAAGAACACGUAUGAGAGUAACUGUUCAUACGUUGACGGUAUUUAACCAGAAAGUCACGGCUAACUACGUGCCAGCAGCCGCGGUAAUACGUAGGUGGCAAGCGUUAUCCGGAUUUAUUGGGCGUAAAGAGAGUGCAGGCGGUUUUCUAAGUCUGAUGUGAAAGCCUUCGGCUUAACCGGAGAAGUGCAUCGGAAACUGGAUAACUUGAGUGCAGAAGAGGGUAGUGGAACUCCAUGUGUAGCGGUGGAAUGCGUAGAUAUAUGGAAGAACACCAGUGGCGAAGGCGGCUACCUGGUCUGCAACUGACGCUGAGACUCGAAAGCAUGGGUAGCGAACAGGAUUAGAUACCCUGGUAGUCCAUGCCGUAAACGAUGAGUGCUAGGUGUUGGAGGGUUUCCGCCCUUCAGUGCCGGAGCUAACGCAUUAAGCACUCCGCCUGGGGAGUACGACCGCAAGGUUGAAACUCAAAGGAAUUGACGGGGGCCCGCACAAGCGGUGGAGCAUGUGGUUUAAUUCGAAGCUACGCGAAGAACCUUACCAGGUCUUGACAUCUUGCGCCAACCCUAGAGAUAGGGCGUUUCCUUCGGGAACGCAAUGACAGGUGGUGCAUGGUCGUCGUCAGCUCGUGUCGUGAGAUGUUGGGUUAAGUCCCGCAACGAGCGCAACCCUUGUUACUAGUUGCCAGCAUUAAGUUGGGCACUCUAGUGAGACUGCCGGUGACAAACCGGAGGAAGGUGGGGACGACGUCAGAUCAUCAUGCCCCUUAUGACCUGGGCUACACACGUGCUACAAUGGACGGUACAACGAGUCGCGAACUCGCGAGGGCAAGCAAAUCUCUUAAAACCGUUCUCAGUUCGGACUGCAGGCUGCAACUCGCCUGCACGAAGUCGGAAUCGCUAGUAAUCGCGGAUCAGCAUGCCGCGGUGAAUACGUUCCCGGGCCUUGUACACACCGCCCGUCACACCAUGAGAGUUUGUAACACCCAAAGUCGGUGGGGUAACCUUUUAGGAGCCAGCCGCU